CUGUCCUACGGGACGCAGCAGUGAGGAAUAUUGGUCAAUGGGCGCGAGCCUGAACCAGCCAAGUAGCGUGAAGGAUGACUGCCCUACGGGUUGUAAACUUCUUUUAUAAAGGAAUAAAGUGAGGCACGUGUGCCUCUUUGUAUGUAUUUUACGAAUAAGGAUCGGCUAACUCCGUGCCAGCAGCCGCGGUAAUACGGAGGAUCCGAGCGUUAUCCGGAUUUAUUGGGUUUAAAGGGAGCGUAGAUGGGUUGUUAAGUCAGUUGUGUAAGUUUGCGGCUCAACGGUCAAAUUGCAAUUGAUACUGG
Molecule: ribosomal RNA, 305 nt
Filed under: uncultured bacterium
Lineage: Bacteria
Description: bacterial SSU rRNA
Rfam family: Bacterial small subunit ribosomal RNA
Source: RNAcentral